Molecule: transfer RNA, 65 nt
Filed under: Clostera anachoreta
Lineage: Eukaryota; Metazoa; Arthropoda; Insecta; Lepidoptera; Notodontidae
Description: tRNA-Cys
Source: RNAcentral
GGCCUUGUAGUCAAUAGUGAUAUAAAAUUGCAAAUUUUAAGGAAUAUUUUUAAAUAUUAAGGCUU